GACGAACGCUGGCGGCGUGCUUAACACAUGCAAGUCGAACGGACCUUAUCGAUGAGCUUGCUUUUUGAUAAGGUUAGUGGCGGACGGGUGAGUAACACGUGGAUAAUCUACCUUCUACACCGGGAUAACACUGUGAAAACGGUGCUAAUACCGGAUAUGGUCACUGAUGCGAUGCACUGGUGAAGAAAAGGGUAACCUGGUAGGAGAUGAGUCCGCGGCUGAUUAGCUAGUUGGCAGGGUAACGGCCUACCAAGGCUACGAUGUUUAGGGGACCUGAGAGGGUGAUCCCCCACACUGGUACUGAGACACGGACCAGACUCCUACGGGAGGCAGCAGUGAGGAAUAUUGGUCAAUGGGCGGAAGCCUGAACCAGCCAUCCCGCGUGCAGGAAGACGGCCCUAUGGGUUGUAAACUGCUUUUCCAGGGGAGAAACUUUCCGAUGCAUCGGGAUUUGACGGUACCCUGGGAAUAAGCAUCGGCUAACUCCGUGCCAGCAGCCGCGGU
Molecule: ribosomal RNA, 504 nt
Filed under: uncultured bacterium
Lineage: Bacteria
Description: bacterial SSU rRNA
Rfam family: Bacterial small subunit ribosomal RNA
Source: RNAcentral